UAUAGAUCAUGACUAGAGAUCAGAUAGAAAUUUUAAAAAAUUCACACAACAAGGGGAAUAUCUAAGCUAUAUCUACAAAAAAAUACAACAUUGAAAGGUUAAUGGUUUACUUACAAGUUUACGGUGUGUGAAGACCCAAAUCAGUAAGCAAACGAGGAAAAAUAAUGGCUUUCAGAAAGUUCGUUCGACGCGCCAUCAUACGGCAUAGGACGAGCAUAGCUUUGAUCAUUCCUCUCAGCCCUAGCCUCGAUCGUAGUCUUUACUUCGUAGUCUGUGGUACUACCAUGGACUACUGGACUACCCUUAAAAAAGCUUGUCGGGUCUCAGAAGUAGCGGACAAAAAGCGGACCGCCGGUGCCAUCUAUCAACCAACAAUCGCAAGUUCUUGCUGAUUGACAACUGAACUCGAAAUUGUAGAAAUAAAACAAGGAAUGCGUAAGGAUUUUGUAUUCCUAUACGGCACCUGUGGCCCACCCUUCUCCCGUUUUUUCUGAUAGAAAAAUAGAAAUAUCUCAUUAACGGUUAAGUAUCAGUAAUAAAAUAAUCGUGCAA
This is a long non-coding RNA of Daphnia magna, 552 nucleotides long. RefSeq lists it as uncharacterized. The transcript is spliced from 2 exons. NCBI's taxonomy places the organism in Eukaryota, Metazoa, Arthropoda, Branchiopoda, Diplostraca, Daphniidae. The record is from RefSeq and is a predicted model, not a curated record.